AAAAAGUUUUAUUCUAGCUUAAUAAUUUAUUAUAAUUUUUAAAUACAUGUAAAUUAAUGUGAGAUUUAUUUAAUUAUUUAAAAUAAUUAAAAUUAUUUUUUAUUCGCAGUAUAUAAAAUUAUAAAUUAUAGAAAUAUAGAUUUAGAAAUAAUUGAUUUUAUUAGCAAAAAUUGUGCCAGCAGCUGCGGUUAUACAGUUAAUAAAAAUAAAUUUUAUAAGUUAAUAGUUAAAUUAAUUAUAUUUAAUAAUUAUAAAUAUAUUAUUUUAAGGUUAAAUUUAUUUAAUAUAAAAAUAUUAUUAUAUAAUAUUGAAGCUAUAAAAAUUAAAAUAUAAACUAGGAUUAGAUACCCUAUUAUUUUAAUUAAUAAAAAAUACUAAAGUAGUAAUAGAUAUAGGCUUGAAACUUAAAGAAUUUGGCGGUAUUUUAAUCUUUUUAGAGGAAACCUGUUCUGUAAUCGAUAUUCCACGUUUAAUUUUACUAAGCUUUAUUAUUUGUAUAUCGUUGUCGAAAGAAUAUUUUUAAAAAAUAAUAAUUUUCUAAAAUUUUUAUUAAAAUUUAUGUCAAAUCAAGAUGCAGUUUAUAGUUUAGUAGAAAUGGGUUACAAUAAAAAUAUUUAUAUGGAUUUAAUUUUGAAAAAAAAUUAAUGAAGGUGGAUUUAAAAGUAAAUUAAAUUUAAUAAAUUUAAUUGAUGAAAGUUCUAAAAUAUGUACAUAUUGCCCGUCGCUCUUUUUAAUUUUUAAAAAAAGAUAAGUCGUAACAUAGUAGAUGUACUGGAAAGUGUAUCUAGAAAGA
Molecule: non-coding RNA, 793 nt
Filed under: Pulex irritans
Lineage: Eukaryota; Metazoa; Arthropoda; Insecta; Siphonaptera; Pulicidae
Source: RNAcentral